AACGAACGCUGGCGGCAGGCCUUAUACAUGCAAGUCGAGCGCUCUCUUCGGAGGGAGCGGCGGACGGGUUAGUAACGCGUGGGAAUGUGCCCUUCUCUAAGGAAUAGCCACUGGAAACGGUGAGUAAUACCUUAUACGCCCUUCGGGGGAAAGAUUUAUCGGAGAAGGAUCAGCCCGCGUUAGAUUAGGUAGUUGGUGGGGUAACGGCCUACCAAGCCGACGAUCUAUAGCUGGUUUGAGAGGAUGAUCAGCAACACUGGGACUGAGACACGGCCCAGACUCCUACGGGAGGCAGCAGUAAGGAAUCUUGGACAAUGGGGAAACCCUGAUCCAGCCAUGCCGCGUGUGUGACGAAGGCCCUAGGGUCGUAAAGCACUUUCGCCAGGGAUGAUAAUGACAGUACCUGGUAAAGAAACCCGGCUAACUCCGUGCCAGCAGCCGCGGUAA
This 447-nucleotide ribosomal RNA is filed under the name uncultured bacterium. RNAcentral describes it as "bacterial SSU rRNA". It matches the Rfam family "Bacterial small subunit ribosomal RNA", at positions 29 to 523 of the family's 1533-position model. The record is from RNAcentral.